RNAcentral lists this long non-coding RNA (397 nucleotides) under Rattus norvegicus (Norway rat). RNAcentral describes it as "long non-coding RNA NONRATT025868". The record is from RNAcentral. Lineage: Eukaryota; Metazoa; Chordata; Mammalia; Rodentia; Muridae.
AAAAUGUCUAGGAAGAGGGGUGGGAACCUCCGGGGUUUUUAAAACCUAGUUUCCGGUCAUCGGAAAGCUCUCAAAAGUCUAGAGUGGGACACAGGCCAUCUUGAGUCAGGGAGAGGGAAAAAGAUGGCAGGGUUUCCCUGUUUCUACAGACUCCCCAACCAUAUACAACUCUCCUAGGGUUGGUUUGCAGGUCGGAACCUGGCGGUGUCCCAAGUAACCACCAAAUACGUGCUGUGGGUGGACGACGACUUUGUCUUCACGGCGCGCACGCGGCUGGAGAAGCUUGUGGAUGUCCUGGAGAGGACGCCCCUGGACUUGGUUGGGGGCGCGGUGCGGGAGAUCUCGGGCUACGCUACCACCUACCGACAGCUGCUAAGUGUGGAGCCGGGCGCCCCAG